AUGGGCCGCCGGGAAUACUACAAAGCUAGGGAGUGGGAGAGGUAGACGGUACUCCGUAGGAAGGGGUAAAAUCCUUUGAUCUAUGGAUGACCACCAGUGGCGAAGGCGGUCUACCAGAACACGUUCGACGGUGAGGGAUGAAAGCUGGGGGAGCAAACCGGAUUAGAUACCCGGGUAGUCCCAGCUGUAAACUAUGCAAACUCAGUGAUGCAUUGGCUUGUGGCCAGUGCAGUGCCGCAGAGAAGUCGUUAAGUUUGCCGCCUGGGAAGUACGUACGCAAGUAUGAAACUUAAAGGAAUUGGCGGGGGAGCACCACAAGGGGUGAAGCCUGCGGUUCAAUUGGAGUCAACGCCAGAAAUCUUACCCGGAGAGACAGCAGAAUGAAGGUCAAGUUGAAGCCUUUACCAGACAAGCUGAGAAGUGGUGCAUGGCCGUCGCCAGCUCGUGCCGUGAGGUGUCCUGUUAAGUCAGGUAACGAGCGAGAUCCUUGCCUCUAGUUGCCACCAUUACUCUCAGGAGUAGUGGGGCGAAUUAGCGGGACUGCCGUAGUUAAUACGGAGGAAGGAGAGGGCCACGGCAGG
This 581-nucleotide ribosomal RNA is filed under the name uncultured archaeon. Its description in RNAcentral is "bacterial SSU rRNA". It matches the Rfam family "Archaeal small subunit ribosomal RNA", at positions 566 to 1145 of the family's 1478-position model. The record is from RNAcentral.